RNAcentral lists this transfer RNA (72 nucleotides) under Camelus bactrianus (Bactrian camel). It matches the Rfam family "tRNA". From Rfam's summary of the family: Transfer RNA (tRNA) molecules are approximately 80 nucleotides in length. Lineage: Eukaryota; Metazoa; Chordata; Mammalia; Artiodactyla; Camelidae. RNAcentral also lists the same sequence under 3 other names. The record is from Rfam by way of RNAcentral.
GAGGGUAUAGCUCAGUGGUAGGGUGCAUGCUUAGCAUGCACAGGAUCCUGGGUUCAAUCCCUGGUACCUCCA